UAAAUUGAGAGUUUGAUCCUGGCUCAGGAUGAACGCUGGCGGCGUGCCUAAUACAUGCAAGUCGAACGAAACUUCUUUAUCACCGAGUGCUUGCACUCACCGAUAAAGAGUUGAGUGGCGAACGGGUGAGUAACACGUGGGCAACCUGCCCAAAAGAGGGGGAUAACACUUGGAAACAGGUGCUAAUACCGCAUAACCAUAGUUACCGCAUGGUAACUAUGUAAAAGGUGGCUAUGCUACCGCUUUUGGAUGGGCCCGCGGCGCAUUAGCUAGUUGGUGGGGUAAAGGCUUACCAAGGCAAUGAUGCGUAGCCGAACUGAGAGGUUGAUCGGCCACAUUGGGACUGAGACACGGCCCAAACUCCUACGGGAGGCAGCAGUAGGGAAUCUUCCACAAUGGGCGAAAGCCUGAUGGAGCAACGCCGCGUGGGUGAAGAAGGUCUUCGGAUCGUAAAACCCUGUUGUUAGAGAAGAAAGUGCGUGAGAGUAACUGUUCACGUUUCGACGGUAUCUAACCAGAAAGCCACGGCUAACUACGUGCCAGCAGCCGCGGUAAUACGUAGGUGGCAAGCGUUAUCCGGAUUUAUUGGGCGUAAAGGGAACGCAGGCGGUCUUUUAAGUCUGAUGUGAAAGCCUUCGGCUUAACCGGAGUAGUGCAUUGGAAACUGGGAGACUUGAGUGCAGAAGAGGAGAGUGGAACUCCAUGUGUAGCGGUGAAAUGCGUAGAUAUAUGGAAGAACACCAGUGGCGAAAGCGGCUCUCUGGUCUGUAACUGACGCUGAGGUUCGAAAGCGUGGGUAGCAAACAGGAUUAGAUACCCUGGUAGUCCACGCCGUAAACGAUGAAUGCUAAGUGUUGGAGGGUUUCCGCCCUUCAGUGCUGCAGCUAACGCAAUAAGCAUUCCGCCUGGGGAGUACGACCGCAAGGUUGAAACUCAAAGGAAUUGACGGGGGCCCGCACAAGCGGUGGAGCAUGUGGUUUAAUUCGAAGCAACGCGAAGAACCUUACCAGGUCUUGACAUCUUUUGCCAAUCCUAGAGAUAGGACUUUCCCUUCGGGGACAAAAUGACAGGUGGUGCAUGGUUGUCGUCAGCUCGUGUCGUGAGAUGUUGGGUUAAGUCCCGCAACGAGCGCAACCCUUAUUGUUAGUUGCCAGCAUUAAGUUGGGCACUCUAGCAAGACUGCCGGUGACAAACCGGAGGAAGGUGGGGAUGACGUCAAAUCAUCAUGCCCCUUAUGACCUGGGCUACACACGUGCUACAAUGGACGGUACAACGAGUCGCAAGACCGCGAGGUUUAGCAAAUCUCUUAAAGCCGUUCUCAGUUCGGAUUGUAGGCUGCAACUCGCCUACAUGAAGUCGGAAUCGCUAGUAAUCGCGGAUCAGCAUGCCGCGGUGAAUACGUUCCCGGGCCUUGUACACACCGCCCGUCACACCAUGAGAGUUUGUAACACCCAAAGCCGGUGGGGUAACCUUUUGGAGCCAGCCGUCUAAGGUGGGACAGAUGAUUAGGGUGAAGUCGUAACAAGGUAGCCGUAGGAGAACCUGCGGCUGGAUCACCUCCUUUCUAAGGA
RNAcentral lists this ribosomal RNA (1571 nucleotides) under Ligilactobacillus murinus. Its description in RNAcentral is "Lactobacillus murinus 16S ribosomal RNA". It matches the Rfam family "Bacterial small subunit ribosomal RNA". Lineage: Bacteria; Bacillati; Bacillota; Bacilli; Lactobacillales; Lactobacillaceae. The record is from RNAcentral.